Molecule: ribosomal RNA, 301 nt
Filed under: uncultured bacterium
Lineage: Bacteria
Description: partial 16S ribosomal RNA
Rfam family: Bacterial small subunit ribosomal RNA
Source: RNAcentral
CAGCAGCCACGGUAAUACGAAGGGUGCAAGCGUUACUCGGAAUUACUGGGCGUAAAGCGUGCGUAGGUGGUGGUUUAAGUCCGUUGUGAAAGCCCUGGGCUCAACCUGGGAAUUGCAGUGGAUACUGGGUCACUAGAGUGUGGUAGAGGAUAGUGGAAUUUCCGGUGUAGCAGUGAAAUGCGUAGAGAUCGGAAGGAACAUCAGUGGCGAAGGCGGCCAUCUGGGACAACACUGACGCUGAGGCACGAAAGCGUGGGGAGCAAACAGGAUUAGAUACCCCAGUAGUCCCUGUCUCUUAUAC